Molecule: ribosomal RNA, 2775 nt
Filed under: Escherichia coli
Lineage: Bacteria; Pseudomonadati; Pseudomonadota; Gammaproteobacteria; Enterobacterales; Enterobacteriaceae
Description: bacterial LSU rRNA
Rfam family: Bacterial large subunit ribosomal RNA
Source: RNAcentral
AGCGUACACGGUGGAUGCCCUGGCAGUCAGAGGCGAUGAAGGACGUGCUAAUCUGCGAUAAGCGUCGGUAAGGUGAUAUGAACCGUUAUAACCGGCGAUUUCCGAAUGGGGAAACCCAGUGUGUUUCGACACACUAUCAUUAACUGAAUCCAUAGGUUAAUGAGGCGAACCGGGGGAACUGAAACAUCUAAGUACCCCGAGGAAAAGAAAUCAACCGAGAUUCCCCCAGUAGCGGCGAGCGAACGGGGAGCAGCCCAGAGCCUGAAUCAGUGUGUGUGUUAGUGGAAGCGUCUGGAAAGGCGCGCGAUACAGGGUGACAGCCCCGUACACAAAAAUGCACAUGCUGUGAGCUCGAUGAGUAGGGCGGGACACGUGGUAUCCUGUCUGAAUAUGGGGGGACCAUCCUCCAAGGCUAAAUACUCCUGACUGACCGAUAGUGAACCAGUACCGUGAGGGAAAGGCGAAAAGAACCCCGGCGAGGGGAGUGAAAAAGAACCUGAAACCGUGUACGUACAAGCAGUGGGAGCACGCUUAGGCGUGUGACUGCGUACCUUUUGUAUAAUGGGUCAGCGACUUAUAUUCUGUAGCAAGGUUAACCGAAUAGGGGAGCCGAAGGGAAACCGAGUCUUAACUGGGCGUUAAGUUGCAGGGUAUAGACCCGAAACCCGGUGAUCUAGCCAUGGGCAGGUUGAAGGUUGGGUAACACUAACUGGAGGACCGAACCGACUAAUGUUGAAAAAUUAGCGGAUGACUUGUGGCUGGGGGUGAAAGGCCAAUCAAACCGGGAGAUAGCUGGUUCUCCCCGAAAGCUAUUUAGGUAGCGCCUCGUGAAUUCAUCUCCGGGGGUAGAGCACUGUUUCGGCAAGGGGGUCAUCCCGACUUACCAACCCGAUGCAAACUGCGAAUACCGGAGAAUGUUAUCACGGGAGACACACGGCGGGUGCUAACGUCCGUCGUGAAGAGGGAAACAACCCAGACCGCCAGCUAAGGUCCCAAAGUCAUGGUUAAGUGGGAAACGAUGUGGGAAGGCCCAGACAGCCAGGAUGUUGGCUUAGAAGCAGCCAUCAUUUAAAGAAAGCGUAAUAGCUCACUGGUCGAGUCGGCCUGCGCGGAAGAUGUAACGGGGCUAAACCAUGCACCGAAGCUGCGGCAGCGACGCUUAUGCGUUGUUGGGUAGGGGAGCGUUCUGUAAGCCUGCGAAGGUGUGCUGUGAGGCAUGCUGGAGGUAUCAGAAGUGCGAAUGCUGACAUAAGUAACGAUAAAGCGGGUGAAAAGCCCGCUCGCCGGAAGACCAAGGGUUCCUGUCCAACGUUAAUCGGGGCAGGGUGAGUCGACCCCUAAGGCGAGGCCGAAAGGCGUAGUCGAUGGGAAACAGGUUAAUAUUCCUGUACUUGGUGUUACUGCGAAGGGGGGACGGAGAAGGCUAUGUUGGCCGGGCGACGGUUGUCCCGGUUUAAGCGUGUAGGCUGGUUUUCCAGGCAAAUCCGGAAAAUCAAGGCUGAGGCGUGAUGACGAGGUACUACGGUGCUGAAGCAACAAAUGCCCUGCUUCCAGGAAAAGCCUCUAAGCAUCAGGUAACAUCAAAUCGUACCCCAAACCGACACAGGUGGUCAGGUAGAGAAUACCAAGGCGCUUGAGAGAACUCGGGUGAAGGAACUAGGCAAAAUGGUGCCGUAACUUCGGGAGAAGGCACGCUGAUAUGUAGGUGAAGUCCCUUGCGGAUGGAGCUGAAAUCAGUCGAAGAUACCAGCUGGCUGCAACUGUUUAUUAAAAACACAGCACUGUGCAAACACGAAAGUGGACGUAUACGGUGUGACGCCUGCCCGGUGCCGGAAGGUUAAUUGAUGGGGUUAGCGGUAACGCGAAGCUCUUGAUCGAAGCCCCGGUAAACGGCGGCCGUAACUAUAACGGUCCUAAGGUAGCGAAAUUCCUUGUCGGGUAAGUUCCGACCUGCACGAAUGGCGUAAUGAUGGCCAGGCUGUCUCCACCCGAGACUCAGUGAAAUUGAACUCGCUGUGAAGAUGCAGUGUACCCGCGGCAAGACGGAAAGACCCCGUGAACCUUUACUAUAGCUUGACACUGAACAUUGAGCCUUGAUGUGUAGGAUAGGUGGGAGGCUUUGAAGUGUGGACGCCAGUCUGCAUGGAGCCGACCUUGAAAUACCACCCUUUAAUGUUUGAUGUUCUAACGUUGACCCGUGAUCCGGGUUGCGGACAGUGUCUGGUGGGUAGUUUGACUGGGGCGGUCUCCUCCUAAAGAGUAACGGAGGAGCACGAAGGUUGGCUAAUCCUGGUCGGACAUCAGGAGGUUAGUGCAAUGGCAUAAGCCAGCUUGACUGCGAGCGUGACGGCGCGAGCAGGUGCGAAAGCAGGUCAUAGUGAUCCGGUGGUUCUGAAUGGAAGGGCCAUCGCUCAACGGAUAAAAGGUACUCCGGGGAUAACAGGCUGAUACCGCCCAAGAGUUCAUAUCGACGGCGGUGUUUGGCACCUCGAUGUCGGCUCAUCACAUCCUGGGGCUGAAGUAGGUCCCAAGGGUAUGGCUGUUCGCCAUUUAAAGUGGUACGCGAGCUGGGUUUAGAACGUCGUGAGACAGUUCGGUCCCUAUCUGCCGUGGGCGCUGGAGAACUGAGGGGGGCUGCUCCUAGUACGAGAGGACCGGAGUGGACGCAUCACUGGUGUUCGGGUUGUCAUGCCAAUGGCACUGCCCGGUAGCUAAAUGCGGAAGAGAUAAGUGCUGAAAGCAUCUAAGCACGAAACUUGCCCCGAGAUGAGUUCU